Molecule: ribosomal RNA, 293 nt
Filed under: uncultured bacterium
Lineage: Bacteria
Description: partial 16S ribosomal RNA
Rfam family: Bacterial small subunit ribosomal RNA
Source: RNAcentral
GAGAAAGCUUGCUUUCUUUGCUGACGAGUGGCGGACGGGUGAGUAAUGCUUGGGAAUCUGGCUUAUGGAGGGGGAUAACUACGGGAAACUGUAGCUAAUACCGCGUAAUAUCUUCGGAUUAAAGGGUGGGACCGUAAGGCCACCUGCCAUAAGAUGAGCCCAAGUGGGAUUAGGUAGUUGGUGGGGUAAAGGCCUACCAAGCCGACGAUCUCUAGCUGGUCUGAGAGGAUGACCAGCCACACUGGAACUGAGACACGGUCCAGACUCCUACGGGAGGCAGCAGUGGGGAAUAU